Molecule: non-coding RNA, 29 nt
Filed under: Macaca fascicularis (crab-eating macaque)
Lineage: Eukaryota; Metazoa; Chordata; Mammalia; Primates; Cercopithecidae
Also listed under: 1 other name
Source: RNAcentral
UGUCUGAUUCAUCUCUGUGCUCCCAGAAU